UAUUGCACAAUGGGGGGGACCCUGAUGCAGCGACGCCGCGUGGGUGAAGGAGCACCUCGGUGCGUAAAGCCCUAUCGGCAGGGAAGAAACAGACGGUACCUGACUAAGAAGCCCCGGCUAACUACGUGCCAGCAGCCGCGGUAAUACGUAGGGGGCAAGCGUUAUCCGGAUUCACUGGGUGUAAAGGGAGCGUAGACGGCGACGCAAGUCUGGAGUGAAAGCCCGGGGCCCAACCCCGGGACUGCUCUGGAAACUGCGUCGCUGGAGUACGGGAGGGGCAGGCGGAAUUCCUGGUGUAGCGGUGAAAUGCGUAGAUAUUAGGAGGAACACCAGUGGCGAAGGCGGCUUACUGGACUGUAAAUGACGCUGAGGCUCGAAAGCGUGGGGAGCAAACAGG
Molecule: ribosomal RNA, 397 nt
Filed under: uncultured bacterium
Lineage: Bacteria
Description: bacterial SSU rRNA
Rfam family: Bacterial small subunit ribosomal RNA
Source: RNAcentral